Molecule: ribosomal RNA, 468 nt
Filed under: uncultured bacterium
Lineage: Bacteria
Description: partial 16S ribosomal RNA
Rfam family: Bacterial small subunit ribosomal RNA
Source: RNAcentral
GACGAACGCUGGCGGCGUGCUUAACACAUGCAAGUCGAACGGAAAGGCCCUGCCUUUGUGGGGUGCUCGAGUGGCGAACGGGUGAGUAACACGUGAGUAACCUGCCCUUGACUUUGGGAUAACUUCAGGAAACUGGGGCUAAUACCGGAUAGGAGCUCCUGCUGCAUGGUGGGGGUUGGAAAGUUUCGGCGGUUGGGGAUGGACUCGCGGCUUAUCAGCUUGUUGGUGGUGUAGUGGCUUACCAAGGCUUCGACGGGUAGCCGGCCUGAGAGGGUGACCGGCCACAUUGGGACUGAGAUACGGCCCAGACUCCUACGGGAGGCAGCAGUGGAGAAUAGUGCACAAUGGGCGGAGGCCUGAUGCAGCAACGACGCGUGCGGGAUGACGGCCUUCGGGUUGUAAACCGCUUUCGCCUGUGACGAAGAGUGAGUGACGGUAAUGGGUAAAGAAGCAACGGCUAACUACGUG